This 504-nucleotide ribosomal RNA is filed under the name uncultured bacterium. RNAcentral's name for it is "partial 16S ribosomal RNA". It matches the Rfam family "Bacterial small subunit ribosomal RNA", at positions 30 to 523 of the family's 1533-position model. The record is from RNAcentral.
AUUGAACGCUGGCGGCAGGCCUAACACAUGCAAGUCGAACGGUAGCACAGAGAGCUUGCUCUCGGGUGACGAGUGGCGGACGGGUGAGUAAUGUCUGGGAAACUGCCUGAUGGAGGGGGAUAACUACUGGAAACGGUAGCUAAUACCGCAUAACGUCGCAAGACCAAAGUGGGGGACCUUCGGGCCUCAUGCCAACAGAUGUGCCCAGAUGGGAUUAGCUGGUAGGUGGGGUAACGGCUCACCUAGGCGACGAUCCCUAGCUGGUCUGAGAGGAUGACCAGCCACACUGGAACUGAGACACGGUCCAGACUCCUACGGGAGGCAGCAGUGGGGAAUAUUGCACAAUGGGCGCAAGCCUGAUGCAGCCAUGCCGCGUGUGUGAAGAAGGCCUUCGGGUUGUAAAGCACUUUCAGCGGGGAGGAAGGCGAUGAGGUUAAUAACCUCAUCGAUUGACGUUACCCGCAGAAGAAGCACCGGCUAACUCCGUGCCAGCAGCCGCCGUAA